Molecule: long non-coding RNA, 845 nt
Organism: Taeniopygia guttata (zebra finch)
Lineage: Eukaryota; Metazoa; Chordata; Aves; Passeriformes; Estrildidae
Source: RefSeq, a predicted model, not a curated record
AGUGCAAGGCCACAAUCUGCUGUCAGGUUUUAGGCAUUUAAUAAACAGCAAGAAUUCCUUGGCAUCACUAAAAGCCAGACUGCAAACAAAGAACCUGCCACGGGACAAGCCCAGCGGAGGGUAACUCCAAGAGCUGGGAUUGUAAAUGGAUAUGGCACAACAAAAAAGUGCACGGGCACAGCCCCCAAUAACCCAAUUAAUCAAGAAUUAUUUCUAUUUCCCACUAAAGAGUUUUAUCCUCCUGUAAUUCGUAAUCCUCAGUGUACACUACAGUUCGUUUUUGGAAACAGCAAUGUGACGUCUCCUAGGUUUUCCUGCUCUCCAGAGGCACGGAGGGGCACACAGCUGUAAUUUGGGCACAGUGGAAGGAAAUCAGCCCCGCCACUCUGCUGUCAAUGCCACCACAAUGCAGACAUUCAUCUUUUUAAAGCUUAAGAUCCAGCAGGACGUAGGCCAAGAAGGCGACGAAGGUGCCGGCGAGUAGCACCCCGAGCACGAUGGCGGCCACGAGCUCUGGGGACGCCGGGGCUGCUGCAGCCUCCCCGACGGCAGCGCUGACAGAUGCUGAGAACACCUCCUCCAGCCCCAGCUCAAGAGAUUUCAUCCUGGAUGGGACCAGUGGCCCACUUAAUCCAUCAUUCUGGUAGCAGUCAGCACAGCUGCUUCCAAGGAAGAUUUCCAUUUCAUUUUUACCAACAAGAACUGGUCCAUAAUAGCGUCAUCACAAACUAAUUUUUCCCACCUUCAGAGUGAUUUUCCUUCAUGAGCACAGGACUCAAUCUUUCCAAAGUAAAUAUAUGUUUAUGUGUAGCCAAAUAAAAGAUCUUCCAUCUUUGUUAACAUGC